RNAcentral lists this unclassified non-coding RNA (337 nucleotides) under soil metagenome. Its description in RNAcentral is "partial contains 5.8S ribosomal RNA, internal transcribed spacer 2, and large subunit ribosomal RNA". The stretch from base 3 to 120 matches the Rfam family "5.8S ribosomal RNA", at positions 37 to 154 of the family's 154-position model. The record is from RNAcentral.
GCUGAAGAACGCAGCGAAAUGCGAUAAGUAGUGUGAAUUGCAGAAUUCAGUGAAUCAUCGAAUCUUUGAACGCACAUUGCGCCCCUUGGUAUUCCAUGGGGCAUGCCUGUUCGAGCGUCAUUUGUACCUUCAAGCUCUGCUUGGUGUUGGGUGUUUGUCUCGCCUCUGCGUGUAGACUCGCCUUAAAACAAUUGGCAGCCGGCGUAUUGAUUUCGGAGCGCAGUACAUCUCGCGCUUUGCACUCAUAACGACGACGUCCAAAAGUACAUUUUUACACUCUUGACCUCGGAUCAGGUAGGGAUACCCGCUGAACUUAAGCAUAUCAAUAAGCGGAGGA